CAUAUUCUUGUUAUUUUUAUUUACAUGAUUUAGAUUUAUUUUUAACUUCUGAUUUUUGGGAUGAGGGUUGACCAAUGUCUCAUGGUCAACCUGACCUUUUAUUGGAAUUUUAUUUCCCAUUUUUAAUUUAUUUUGGAUUUAUUUUUGACCUAGUUUGCUUGGUUNAUUUUGGAUUUAUUUUUGACCUAGUUUGCUUGGUUGACUUU
Molecule: long non-coding RNA, 206 nt
Filed under: Lathyrus oleraceus (garden pea)
Lineage: Eukaryota; Viridiplantae; Streptophyta; Magnoliopsida; Fabales; Fabaceae
Description: Pisum sativum (pea) long non-coding RNA (PSAT_LNC032719)
Source: RNAcentral